GAUGAAGAACGCAGCGAAAUGCGAUAAGUAAUGUGAAUUGCAGAAUUCAGUGAAUCAUCGAAUCUUUGAACGCACAUUGCGCCCGCCAGUAUUCUGGCGGGCAUGCCUGUUCGAGCGUCAUUACAACCCUCAGGCCCCCGGGCCUGGCGUUGGGGAUCGGCGGAGCCCCCCGUGUGCACACGCCGUCCCCCAAAUGCAGUGGCGGUCCCGCCGCAGCUUCCAUCGCGUAGUAGCUAACACCUCGCGACUGGAGAGCGGCGCGGCCACGCCGUAAAACACCCAACUCUUCUGAAGUUGACCUCGAAUCAGGUAGGAAUACCCGCUGAACUUAAGCAUAUCAAUAAGCGGAGGA
This 352-nucleotide unclassified non-coding RNA is filed under the name soil metagenome. RNAcentral describes it as "partial contains 5.8S ribosomal RNA, internal transcribed spacer 2, and large subunit ribosomal RNA". The stretch from base 1 to 120 matches the Rfam family "5.8S ribosomal RNA", at positions 35 to 154 of the family's 154-position model. The record is from RNAcentral.